This is a long non-coding RNA of Lutra lutra (Eurasian river otter), 378 nucleotides long. RefSeq lists it as uncharacterized. The transcript has 3 exons. Lineage: Eukaryota; Metazoa; Chordata; Mammalia; Carnivora; Mustelidae. The record is from RefSeq and is a predicted model, not a curated record.
CUUCUUGUUCUUCCACAGCAGAGCCCCUCCUGCCUGACGUGGAGAAGGAUAAUGGACAUGCUGGUCCUAUGUGAAAGGAAACUGUGGUCCAGACUGUAGGAAAAAGAUACACUCACAGAAAUUUGCAUACGGGAAGUUUAUUGUAAAGUGGUCUCAGGAAUAAUAAUUGUGAGGAGUUAAGGAAGCAGGAUUGGGAAGGAGAAGUUGAACUAUGGGGAAAUUGCAAGAAAGUCUUCAGCACAUCCCAUAGAAGCUCAGGAGCUGGGGUAGACCUUCAGAGCUGUCCCAAAUUAAGACCCCACAAGCGAGGGAGCUGGAUGCUUCUGCUGAAAUGCCGAAUCACAGUGAUAGCAAGAGUUAACAAAUGUAGACCCGUAC